Molecule: long non-coding RNA, 1845 nt
Organism: Equus caballus (horse)
Lineage: Eukaryota; Metazoa; Chordata; Mammalia; Perissodactyla; Equidae
Source: RefSeq, a predicted model, not a curated record
CACACAGCCAUCUGCUCGUGCGUGUAGGCAUAGACUGGAGAGACGUUUGGGAGAAUAUUCACCAAAAUGUUAAUGGUGAUUAUCUCUGGAAGAGGAGAUUUGGGAAUUCCAUGAAUAUUGUAUGGUGGACCCAAGGAUGAGGGAAUGAGUGUAGGAAGAUCUGGUUCCAGCUCCACUUCUGCCCACAACCUACUGAACCAUCGAUAGAAUGACGAUCGUAAUUUCUCACACUAUCCUACAGGGAUCUCCCCAGGAUUAAUUACACAAUGCACAUAAGGUGCUUUCAGCUGUGUGGAGAAAGACAAUGAAAAUAUUUUUGGGAUCUUGCAAGUUUUUCAGAAUGGCUACUGCACAGGAUGCCUUUCAGCAGAAAAAGAGAUGAAGCUGGGAAGGCGGACAGAUUACAUGGAGCCCUGUGUACAGCAAGAGGAAGGGGCUUCACUGUGUGGGUGCUGGGGAGGCACUAGAGAAUGUCAGGUAGGGUGAUGACAUGAUCAGCUUUGGGAAAAGCGAGCCCACUGUGUGGCUUUAUGGAGGAGAGAUGAAAAGCAGGUGUUGCAGAAGCAAGGGCAGGAGCUGGGGAACAGUAAAGAGGAAAGAAAGCCAGCAAGGCGCGGCAUUUAGGGGGCAAGAGCAGUGUGGGGGCAGAAGGAGAACUGAAGAGGGUGAGUUACCAAAGUCAAGGGAGAUAAGGGCUUCGGAAAAGUGAAAUAAGUUCAAUGAGAUAAAAACUAAACAAUAUACCUCAGAUCUAGAGGUUUGUCACUGGUGAUCUUGGCAAGAGCAAUUCCAGUAGAGUGGACAGAAGCCACACUUCCAUGGACCAAAGCUUGAAUGGGAGGUAAGGACCUGGAAGCAAUGAACAUACUAAUAAUUUUAAAGCAGAUGGACUAGAAAGGAAAAGAAGAGAGACAGGCUAACUAGAGGGGGCUGCAGAAUUGAAGGAAAGGUGGUGGUGGUUUUGUUGUUGUUUUAAAAGAGUGCAGACUUUUGAGUAGGUGUGAAGUUGAGGGCAUGAAACCAGGGGAAAGGGAGGGACAAGCUUGAGACCACUGAGGGGGAAGAAGCAAUGGUUUCAAACAUGCAGGAAGGUCCCUUCUUCCUUCCAGACCAGGGGGAAGUUGGAGAGGAUGAAUGCAGAUGUAGAUAAAUUCGAUGGUGAGACUGUGAUGACAAGGAAUUAACAUCUUAUGACUUCUUGUUCUCCGUGGAGUAGGAGCAAGGUUAUCUGUGGACCCUGAAAGGAAGUAGAGCCCCAGAUAACUGAUGAGCCUGCAACAAUGGGUGGAUUCAGCAUACAUACACUGAGGUCUUAGAAGGUGUCAACAGGCAAGUACAGUGAAAGCAAAGAGAGAGGGAGUUAGCCGCAUAAGGGAUAUGGCCAGGGAGUGGCUGAUCAGAGUUCAAGGUCUCAGUGGUGGAAUAGCUCAGAGUCAUAAACAGAUCCUGGUGUGGCUGCAAGAGUCACAUGCUCAACUGGGGCAUAGGUGAAGGUGGAUGGAGCUGAGUAGAUUAAGAAACUUUCAGGCGAGAGUGAGAGAUGGGUACUCCCCAAAGAUGUUUCCUUGCUCAGGAUAUCAGGAAAGUUAGAGAAAGCGAAAAUUGUGGAUCAGGUUCCAAAUUGUUGUUUAGGAAAAUACACUCAAUAAAGUUCAGUAUCUCUUUGAGAAUGCUCUUUGGCCAACUGGUUUUGUGUGCCAUAAUCUCCUACUGUAAUACUUGUUUCCUUUUCUUUUCUUGUAAUAGGAUUGGGAAUGAUCCCUCUUCUUUGAUAAGUGGGAUAUGGCUUGCUGUCUUCUCUUUCCCAGCCUCCCUCUGAUUUCCCCAUCAUUUGCAGCCAUACGA